UGUCCUAGCGGCGAACGGGUGAGUAACACGUGGGCAACCUGCCCCUACGCUCUGGGAUAACCCCGGGAAACCGGGGCUAAUACCGGAUACGACUUCACAAGGCAUCUCGUGAAGUGGAAAGGGUUUACUGGCUAGGGAUGGGCCCGCGGCCUAUCAGCUUGUUGGUGGGGUAAUGGCCUACCAAGGCGACGACGGGUAGCCGGCCUGAGAGGGCGACCGGCCACACUGGGACUGAGACACGGCCCAG
Molecule: ribosomal RNA, 247 nt
Filed under: uncultured bacterium
Lineage: Bacteria
Description: partial 16S ribosomal RNA
Rfam family: Bacterial small subunit ribosomal RNA
Source: RNAcentral